CAACAAUGAACUAGUCAGUUAAUAAAAAAUCUUCUGUAAACUGACAGACCAAUGAUGCGAUUAUACCUGAUAACAAUAAUUUUAGGGAAACUUUCCAGGAACUAUUAUAGCGGACCAAGACAUUGCUAUAAUCAGAUGUUGAGAGGUAUUAUUGUAAAUUACCAUUUGAAUUUGCGUUUUAUUUAGGUAAAUUAUCUUUUUCUGCAACUAUGGAAUAUAACUGACACCUGAUGACAAAAGCACAUUUUAUGGUUUUGCAUUGUCACUUCUAUUACUCAGAAAAAAUGUAUGUCAUCUUAUUCUCUGAUUUCCGUUUUCAUGAAUUAUAAUUUCAAUGAGUAAUUUCUCAUGUAUCCUAUCUUUUGACUAACUAACGAGCGGCAAAAUAAUCUUGUGGUCAAAAGUGUAACAUAUCAAGAUGGAAGCUUGGAUUUUUUUUAGAUUGCUUAUCUGUAUUACGCGUUAUUUUCACUGACUGCAAGGCAAGUACAUUUUUACAAUUUGUUUCUUUGAGAACAUGUUUCGUUUUGUGAUAGAAAUGCAUGUAAUGAUAGAAGUCCGUCGCGUGAGUGAAUGAAUGAAUGUGAUAAGAUAGGUUUUAUCCUCAGCUUAGCGGUGUGGGGCUUCUGUGCACGAUGUUUCCAUGAAUUCCAUUCUUGCCUUUUAAUUGAAACAUUGACAUUUAAGACAGCUGAAAAGAUCUAAAUAUCUGCGUUAUUCGCAGAAUAAUUAAAACAGUCUUAUAAUUUCGUCAAUUAUAAUGCAGGACAUAGAAUACAGGAUUCUGAUAUCGGAUAUUCGGAACGCCAUUUUGCUUCCUGGGAAAAAUGAUCCCAUUAUUUAUGAAACAUUUAUUGUCGUCUUCCUAAUGAAAACUACUAAACUACUGUUGCUGUUCAAUGAGGAGCAUCUUAACCAGUAAAAUAUAUUGAUUUUACGCUUGGUUGUCCCUGUCAUUAACUCUUGUGGACUUAUUGCAAGAAUUAAAUUAAAAUAUUGUUAAUAGUCAUAUGUUUUAGUAAGGACCCUGCAAUAAAUUAAAGGUAUAUCGUAUUAGACCAAGGAUCUAUUACAGGGCCAUUAUGAAAACACUUGAACAUUUAAAAACACCUAUCCAUUGACAAAUUAGUUACAUUACUACUUGAAAAUGUUUUAAUAUAUACAUGGCGACGAAAUAUUACACUUGUUUGAAAACAUGUACACAGCGGCGUUUUUACUGAAAUUUAAGGCGGUGCCGAAGAAAUCUUUGUGGUUUUUAUAACGCCCGGUAAUUACAGACAUAUCAAAUAAUAUGAUUUAUGAAUAGAUUUAUAGUCAUUAUCCCUUUUAAGGGAGUUACAAAAUACGCCCCUCGAGAGCUUGUUAGAAGAAAAGUUUUUGUUACAGAACUGCAAAUAUGACUCUAAUAUCAUGACAGUAGCUUCAAAAAUUCGAAAACAAGGGCUAUCGUUAAAAACGAAGGAUGCUGCCCGAAUUGCAUAUUUCUCAGUGGAUAUGUAGCUAAGAAUUCUUAGUAGGUCUCUAGUCCAGAUACCCACAUAACAAGUCUUAAGAUCGUAGGUUUGUCAUUCUUGUUAUCUAACAUUUGACCUCUUAGUUUGACCUUGACUUUAGACCUACGGACCUAAUUCCUGCGCAUGCCACUCCAACUUAUGAUGGUAAACAUUUGCACCAAGUUACAUCAAAAUCUCUGAAUGCAUAAAGAAGAAAUGCUCCAGACCAAAGUUGUGGACGAUGCCCGAUCGCCCGCCCGCAAGGGCGUUCCCAUAGUUUGUCCCGUCUUUCAGAUGGGCGUAAAAAAAUGAUCAGACUAACCUUUAUUUUAAAUCUUUAGACAUCGCUGCUAAGGUAAAGUUGCAAUUUGGCAAGGGACACAGAGCCUAAUUCAGUUAACAGGUCAAAGCUUUUUUAUCCAGUAAAUGAAUAUCCGACAGUCCUUCUUUUAUUCUAAUAUUCAAAUAAAUUAGCAAGAUUAUUAUUUUUCGAUUAAUGGCAAUGUACACCCGUCUCCCGUUACUUUAACGUUUUUUGAUAGUCUCAAGUUAGGUUAUAGCACUCUAAAUGAUUUGGAUUAUAGCGCACUUACUAAUUUAUUGUCUGUAUUCGUAAUCAAAUAAUAUCAGUAAAAUUAUUAAAAUGAUGGACAAAACUUGAAAAUAAAAAUAUCAAGAUGGCGGUUGUUUUCUGCCAAAGAAUUUAAACAAUCAAGAUGAAAGAAAUCUGAUAUUGGUCGAAAUAAUCCUACAUUGCUCCAGAUGAAAUAAAGUAUUGCGACUUUAUCUUCUUAUAACAUCGGUAAUUAGCUUAGUAUUGUCGCAACUAUUAUUUAGUUAAAUAAUAAUAGAUAGUAUUGCAUUUAGUUUUUCACUUGUCUUUAUGCAGCACCAGGGUCAUCCAGUUACUUUGGCUGUUUUAAAGACGACGUAUUCCGAAAAUUCAGUUGGUAUCCGAAGCUAGUUUUCAAUAAUGGCGCCUUGUGUAUUCGCUAUUGCAAAGCUUCAGGGCACAUAUACGCUGCCACACAGUCAGUAUACUGUAAAUGUGGUAUGAACUAUCGUGGGAAUCCUAAACCAGGCAAUUGUGGAUAUAAAUGUCCAGGAUUACAGAAUGAAAUCUGCGGAGGCCCAAACAGUUUGUCAGUGUAUGACACAAGGUUAAUUGAUACUAAAUCAACUCCAUCAACACAAACUGGUGCUGUGAUAACAGCAACAGAAAGUAUCAACAGCUUCAAUGAACAAACUGCUUAUAAAGAACGUAAGGCGUGUUAACUUUCGUGUAUGAAAUAUUAUGUUUCACCUUUAACAUGCUAAAGUUAUUGAAGAUACAAUGUUGUUCGAAAUCUAAUUGUACGUAUUUCAAAUUUUCCCCCUACAGGUCCACACAAUUUAGACCAAAAAUGCACCAUAGGCCAUCAUUUCGUAUCUGUAUUUCAAAAUGUCGCAGGAAUAGAGCAUCCUGAUCCCCACCCGCUUAAAUGAAGGGAUUACCCCCUUUAGUACCUCAAAAGUAAAAAGGAAAACAGAGGUCACCAUUUUAUACCUGUAUUUCAAAAAUGUCUUGAGAGAGACCCCCUGAUUCAAAGUUUUAUGCUUACAAGGAUUAUACACUUUAUACAUUUUAAAAGAAAAACAGGCAAUGGCCAAGCCGCUUACAUCUUGGUGCCGGUUUUCGGAAUUUUUAUAGCAUUUGGAACAGCAGCAUUCAUUGGUAAGUUAUUUUUUUUGGAAUUGGAAUUAUAUCAUUUACAACUGUGACAUUACAUGGCUAAAAAGACAGGAAGGUGUAAAAAGGUUAUUGUUACAAACCGCACGUAAAUGCUCGUGAAAAGGUUUACAAACAACAAAAACCUACAGAACCACUACGCAUGUACCUAAUGCCGUUGCGUAAAAAGGCCAUUAAAUGUGCGGUGAAAUAGAUAAA
Mercenaria mercenaria is the source of this 3420-nucleotide long non-coding RNA. RefSeq lists it as uncharacterized. The transcript has 3 exons. The record is from RefSeq and is a predicted model, not a curated record. NCBI's taxonomy places the organism in Eukaryota, Metazoa, Mollusca, Bivalvia, Venerida, Veneridae.